Molecule: ribosomal RNA, 199 nt
Filed under: uncultured bacterium
Lineage: Bacteria
Description: partial 16S ribosomal RNA
Rfam family: Bacterial small subunit ribosomal RNA
Source: RNAcentral
ACGCUCGACACCUACGGGAGACAGCAGUGGGGAAUAUUGCACAAUGGGGGAAACCCUGAUGCAGCGACGCCGCGUGGAGGAAGAAGGUCUUCGGAUUGUAAACUCCUGUUGUUGGGGAAAAAGAGGAUGGUACCCAACAAGGAAGUGACGGCUAACUACGUGCCAGCAGCCGCGGUAAUCUGAGGCGGGCUGGCAAGGC